UCAAAUUCAUCUUGAUCAAAGAUCAAGUGAAUUGCUUUGCAUUAGAGAUAGGUUGCUUCUUGGUCAAGCAAAAAAACCUAAAUUCAUACAAGAUUAUUCUUCUUUUCUUUUGGCAUGACAAGUUGUAGGAGCUUAGCUUACUAGUCACGGUCUCUAACUUGUGUUUGUUGCCUAUAGUUUUAUUGACCGACCUCAGAUAGGUGUGAC
Molecule: long non-coding RNA, 207 nt
Filed under: Lathyrus oleraceus (garden pea)
Lineage: Eukaryota; Viridiplantae; Streptophyta; Magnoliopsida; Fabales; Fabaceae
Description: Pisum sativum (pea) long non-coding RNA (PSAT_LNC002702)
Source: RNAcentral